Molecule: long non-coding RNA, 2023 nt
Filed under: Homo sapiens (human)
Lineage: Eukaryota; Metazoa; Chordata; Mammalia; Primates; Hominidae
Description: HSALNT0078703
Source: RNAcentral
AAAUUUACUAUGAUCCUUGACAUUUCAAAUUUAUAUUGCUGUUAUUAUUUUUUGUGAUAAUUUGUAGAGCUGAAGUUUGUCAAGUUUGUAUAAUGCAUUUAGCGCUGUAGUUAAGAGCAUGGGCUAUGAAUGGAUGCUAAUGGAGAGCCUGUUGCAAUGUAAAAAAGACACUCAAGUAGCUCAGUGGAAUGGCCCACAUGAUGAGAAACUGAGAGCCAGCGUCAACUGCCCAUCACAUAAUUAAGCAAGCUUGGUAGCAGACCUUCUUGCUCCGGUCAAGCCUUCAGAUGACUGGAACCCCAGCUGACAACUCCACUGUAACCCUAUGAGAGCUGCCAAGCUAGAAUCACUCAGCCAAGCCACUCCUGAAUUCUGGAUCCCCAGAGUCUGUGUGAGAUAAUAAAUGUUCAUUGUUAUAAGCCACAAAGGUUUGAGGCCACUUGGUACAAAGCAAUAGAUAAUUAAGACAUUCUUCAUUCUAAGUUUUUACUCUAUACAAGGUUUAUGUCGUAUGUGUAUAUAUCCUUUCUGCCACCCCCUAACAUACACACAACCAUCUUUCAAGCAAGUCCUCCGUAUAGGAGCACAGGAAAAUAUCCAGGAGCAAUAGGUGGGCGUGUACACUUUGAUAAUCACACACUUUUAAGGAAUUAAAACUCUAAGUUAUUUGUGUCCAUUGCUAUACCUGCAUACAUAAUGAGGCCCAUCUGUAAAAUUUCCUCAUACAAGAAAUUAUUCACAAAAUUAAAUAUCACAUGUUUAAUCUUCAUUAAUAUAUAUAUGCUAAUUAAUUUGUAGCACAAUACAUCAUUCCAUUUUCUUACAGUAGCAUAAGCAGACUACUGCUGAUAUAAUUUUAUUACCCAGGUGGUUAUAAGCAUUGAGUUAAUGUCUUGUCAUUGACUUCUGCUAACUGGCAGAAUUGAGUUGUUUCAUACUAUUUCAGCUGGCAGUGAGAUAAAUGAGUUACACAGUUAAGAGGGACAUCUGCCUGAAAUACUGAUAAGCUGUAGCAGGACAGUUUAAAGCAAAUAUGAAUUCCUUCAGCAGCAGAAAAUUUUUACACAAUUAUUAACUGUAACUUCACUGUGAGUCAUGAUCACAUUAUAUAAAAAUGCUAAAGUACUAACAUUACCAGAAGCACUCAAAGCACAUAAUCUAUUAUUCAUUCCAUCUGUCCUUUGUCUUACAUAAAAUUAAUUUAUCAUUAACAUUUCAGAUCAAUGUUAAAAUAUGAUAAAAUUUGAGAAGAUAAACAUUUACUCUUUAUAUCACUAUAUUUCCAAGACUAAAACGACAAAGCAGAUGAAAGAUCAUAUCUUUGAAAACUUUUGGAUACCUGAAUAAUCUCUGUAAUAGAAUUGAUUAAAAACUGUUUUCAGUAUUAGUUUCCAAUACAAUAAUGGUUUGAAAACACAGAUUAUUUUAUUAGUAUUGAUGUAAAUUUCUUCUAUGAAAAUCUGGGUUCUAAAUUAACCUAAACAAUAUUAAAGGUAUUAAAUUAUAUUACAAUAAGAUUUCAACUCUAUACAAAUUAUAUUUCUGCAAAGCACAGAUGUUUUCUUUUGUAUAAGUCCAUGAAACAGCUUUUAGAGCGGCAUGAAUUACAGCAAAAUAAAAUUUAUAAAAAAUGAGAUUUAAAUGUUUUAUCCUUCAACAAAUAGCAGCAUAAUUUUACCAAAUACAAAAUGGUAUAAAAGGUAAUCAUUAGGAAAUGAGAAUCACAAACUGCUCUUCUGAAACAUUAAGAUAGACAAGGGUUAGCUAUUCAUCAUAGGUACUAGAUCUUUACACAUAACUUUAAAAAUUUGAUAUUUUCAUUUAAUACCCAUAUUAAUACAUUUAUAAAUUAUUGAAGGAGUAGGGAUGAGAGGUGUUUGCUUCUGACAUUAACUUGGCUAAGGGAGCCUUAUAUGUGUGGCAAUACGUAAGAAAUAAAAUUUCAAGUCAAUAAAUUUUUGCUUAGUCAAUUCUAUUUACUUUAUUUAUUAUUGUAUUAAAAUUGUACCCUUGCUAACCAAUG